This 253-nucleotide unclassified non-coding RNA is filed under the name uncultured delta proteobacterium. Its description in RNAcentral is "contains 16S-23S intergenic spacer region". It matches the Rfam family "Bacterial small subunit ribosomal RNA", at positions 524 to 776 of the family's 1533-position model. The record is from RNAcentral. Lineage: Bacteria; Deltaproteobacteria.
UACGGAGGGUGCAAGCGUUGUUCGGAAUCAUUGGGCGUAAAGCGCGUGUAGGCGGCACGGCAAGUCGGUUGUGAAAGCCCGGGGCUCAACCCCGGAACUGCAGCCGAAACUGCCGCGCUAGAGUCCCGGAGAGGAAGGCGGAAUUCCCGGUGUAGGGGUGAAAUCCGUAGAUAUCGGGAGGAACACCAGUGGCGAAGGCGGCCUUCUGGACGGUGACUGACGCUGAGACGCGAAAGCGUGGGGAGCAAACAGG